GGAAUCUUGCGCAAUGGGCGAAAGCCUGACGCAGCAACGCCGCGUGCGGGAAGAAGGCCUUCGGGCUGUAAACCGCUUUCAGCAGGGACGAAACUGACGGUACCUGUAGAAGAAGGAGCGGCCAACUAUGUGCCAGCAGCCGCGGUGACACAUAGGCUCCAAGCGUUGUCCGGAUUCAUUGGGCGUAAAGAGCUCGUAGGCGGUCGUGUAAGUCGGGUGUGAAAACUCUGGGCUCAACCCAGAGACGCCACCCGAUACUGCUCUGACUCGAGUUCGGCAGGGGAGUGGGGAAUUCCUCGUGUAGCGGUGAAAUGCGCAGAUAUGAGGAGGAACACCGGUGGCGAAGGCGCCACUCUGGGCCGAUACUGACGCUGAGGAGCGAAAGCACGGGUAGCAAACAGGAUUAGAUACCCUGGUAGUCCGUGCCGUAAACGGUGGGCACUAGGUGUGGGAUUCAACUAACGGAUUCCGCGCCGUCGCUAACGCAUUAAGUGCCCCGCCUGGGGAGUACGGUCGCAAGACUAAAACUCAAAGGAAUUGACGGA
This 545-nucleotide ribosomal RNA is filed under the name uncultured bacterium. Its description in RNAcentral is "bacterial SSU rRNA". It matches the Rfam family "Bacterial small subunit ribosomal RNA", at positions 358 to 917 of the family's 1533-position model. The record is from RNAcentral.